RNAcentral lists this ribosomal RNA (431 nucleotides) under uncultured bacterium. RNAcentral's name for it is "partial 16S ribosomal RNA". It matches the Rfam family "Bacterial small subunit ribosomal RNA", at positions 29 to 506 of the family's 1533-position model. The record is from RNAcentral.
ACGAACGCUGGCGGCAGGCCUAACACAUGCAAGUCGAGCGAGACCUUCGGGUCUAGCGGCGGACGGGUGAGUAACGCGUGGGAACGUGCCCUUUUCUACGGAAUAGCCUCGGGAAACUGAGCGUAAUACCGUAUACGCCCUUUGGGGGAAAGAUUUAUCGGAGAAGGAUCGGCCCGCGUUGGAUUAGGUAGUUGGUGGGGUAAUGGCCUACCAAGCCUACGAUCCAUAGCUGGUUUGAGAGGAUGAUCAGCCACACUGGGACUGAGACACGGCCCAGACUCCUACGGGAGGCAGCAGUGGGGAAUCUUAGACAAUGGGGGCAACCCUGAUCUAGCCAUGCCGCGUGAGUGAUGAAGGCCUUAGGGUUGUAAAGCUCUUUCAGCUGGGAAGAUAAUGACGGUACCAGCAGAAGAAGCCCCGGCUAACUCCGU